RNAcentral lists this ribosomal RNA (468 nucleotides) under uncultured bacterium. Its description in RNAcentral is "partial 16S ribosomal RNA". It matches the Rfam family "Bacterial small subunit ribosomal RNA", at positions 28 to 507 of the family's 1533-position model. The record is from RNAcentral.
GACGAACGCUGGCGGCGUGCUUAACACAUGCAAGUCGAACGGAAAGGCCCUUCUUUUGUGGGGGUCUCGAGUGGCGAACGGGUGAGUAACACGUGAGUAACCUGCCCGUGACUUUGGGAUAACUUCAGGAAACUGGGGCUAAUACCGGAUAGGAGCUCCUGCGGCAUGGUGGGGGUUGGAAAGUUUGGGCGGUUGGGGAUGGACUGGCGGGUUAUCAGCUUGUUGGUGGGGUAGUGGCUUACCAAGGCUGUGACGGGGAGCCGGCCUGAGAGGGUGACCGGCGACAUUGGGACUGAGAGAAGGCACAGACUGGUACGGGAGGAAGAAGGGGGGAAGAUUGCACAAUGGGCGGCAGCUGGAUGCAGCAGCGCCGCGUGCUGGAUGACGGCCUUGGGGUGGUAAACCGCUUUGGCCUGUGACGAAGCGUGAGUGAAGGUAAUGGGUAAAGAAGCACCGGCUAACUAAGUG